AACAACAGGGAUAUUCUCAGUAACGGCGAGUGAAGAGAAUACAGCCCAGCGCUGAAUCGUGUUGCUUGAAAGAGUGAUACGACAUGUAGCGUGAAACUGGCGGCUGUUGAUGUUGUCGAUGUGUGUAAGUCUUCUUGAGCGGGGCUCAGUCCCAGAGAUGGUGCUAGGCCCGUAUCGCGCAUGACAAGUACAGCAACGCCCGCUUGUGGAGAGUCAGGUUGUUUGGGAACACAAUCUAAAGCCGGUGGUACACUCCAUCGAAGGCUAAAUAUGACCACGAGUCCGAUAGCGAACAAGUACCGUGAGGGAAAAUUGAAAAGCACUUUGAAGAGAGAGCGAAAUAGUGCGUGAAACCGCUUAGAGGCAAGCAGAUGGAUUCUCGAAGGUGUGCAUAGGAUUUAUUUCCUAGUUCUCACGCCACCACUGUUGUUGACGUGCACCAUGCGCUGACAUUUGGACGCUUGAGAUUGGGACUUGUGCCUGCUUGAGACGCUCGGUGUUGGACGUGUUGAGUUGUUGUGGGAUGCAAUAACAGAGCAGAGCAUUUGUCGUCGCUGUAAAGCGCCGACUGUGGCCGCUUGCUGAUGCAUUGUUGUUGUGGCGAAACGCAAGCUUCGACAUGCGGCAUGUGUUGCAAAUCGGCUAUUAGUACCGGCAAGACGACUUUAAGACU
Molecule: ribosomal RNA, 673 nt
Filed under: Echiniscus merokensis
Lineage: Eukaryota; Metazoa; Tardigrada; Heterotardigrada; Echiniscoidea; Echiniscidae
Description: partial large subunit ribosomal RNA
Rfam family: Eukaryotic large subunit ribosomal RNA
Source: RNAcentral